This 3666-nucleotide long non-coding RNA is filed under the name Equus caballus (horse). RNAcentral describes it as "lncRNA (ENSECAG00000051510.1)". The record is from RNAcentral. Lineage: Eukaryota; Metazoa; Chordata; Mammalia; Perissodactyla; Equidae.
GGUUGUGCAGCGAAGCGACCCAGCUGCUCGGCGCAGCGGAAGCCCCUUCAAAGUCCUGCCCGCGCGGACGCCCCUUGUUGGAGAAAUUCAUCCAAGUAGCCCCUGAUUUGGCAGCGAUACCUCCCAUCGGACACCAGCUCUCCGAGGGGUGGUAAUGGGGGGACACUUCCAGCCUCCCCCAGGCCGGCGUCUUGGGAGGCUUGGUUAUUAUCUGCGGAGCUGGGGUUUGAUUCCAGGUGCAGUCUGAGUUCAACAGCAGAGUUUUUACCUACUCUUCUAAAGACGAGUUAUGGGAAAGAGCAGCGCUUAACAACGCACCUUCUUAUUGCCUGUACCUGGGACAGCCAUUCCCACUGCGCCCCUCCCUUCAGCUCCCCACAGGAUGGCACUGAUUGGCAGAGAGUGUCUCCUCCAGGAUCCUCUUCAUGUCUCCUUCAAUCUAUGGCAAUUUCUCGGUCUUUCCUCGUUCUUUCUUGACCUUGACCAUUUUGAGGAAUACUGGUCCAACAUUUCGUAGAAUGCCCCUGCGUUGGGAUUUGUCUAAUGUUUUUCUCAUGAUGAGCGCGGGGCUGUGUUACCGGGAAGCAGACCACAGAGAUGGGAACGACGUGCUUGAUGAAUUGAAGAUCACCACCCCACACUCCAGUUUCAUUUGAGUUGGAUUGAUUGGAAUUUCCCCAAAAGUUCUCAAGCGAGAUCCCCAGGAUCAGCCGAGCUCCUCCUCAGAGUCCUCUGAAGUCCUCCCAGGGGCAGGCAUCAGAGGGGGACCGGGUGGGGUCUUAGAUGCGGCUUCUCAAACUGUGGCCCCUGGACCAGCAGCGUCGGCAUGAGUGGGUCAGACAUGCAGAAGCCCAGGUCCCCUGGGCCACCUGGUUCAGAGUCUGCAUUGUAACAAGAACCCCCAGGUGGCUGGUCUACACGUCUAUUGUUUGAGAAGCACCGUCUUGGAAUCCAGAGUCUCUCUUCACGACUGCCUUCUGAAAUGGAUGGAGCCGGAAAUGUUGGACGGGGUGAAAUGUCUUGCCCUGGAUCUCACACCUAGUGAGUAAACAGCAUGCUCGAUGGAAUCAAGAGGCCAGGAGACCGUCCUGGCUCUGACGCGGAACGUUGUGACCUGCCUGCCAUGAAGGUGAAGACAACGAGGUUCAGAGAAGUGAGCUAACUUGCCUAAGGGACACAGCCUGGAAACUGGCCAAGCGAGGACCUCAGAGCUAAGGUCCCCCCUCUGGGUGCACAUAUUUCCACCAAGUGGACGCCCUCUUCACCGUCACUGUCCUUGGUGAAUGACUUGCCUCUGAGCUCCUUCCUGCUCUACCCAGCACCACCGGGGAGCAGGAGGAGGCCGGGCCUUGUAAAACAGCAUCCGGCUGUCAGCACUGGCAUCUGUCAAAGGAAGUGACUGCUCUUGGGCCCCAACACCGUUCCCAAAGUGGACACUGCUUUUGAAAAGUGCUAACGUACAGGCUUGUCAGGCCAGCCUGGGGGGAGCUGGAGCAGUGAUCUGAUGCUGGGGGGAAGAUAAAGGGGGACAGCUGCCACAAACCUGGGCAUCUGUUUCCCUUGCCCACCUCCUGCCCACAGCCAGAAGCAGCCCCUUUCUCCAAAGCACUUGUGGGUGGGAGGUGGGGGGCAGGGAGAGCAGAGCCCACCUCUCUGAAGACCUUCCUAUUCUUAGGACUCAGAGCUGCUGAGCCAGUGAGUGACAGACACCUUCUCGCUCCAGUGGAAACCAGGGCGGAGGGAACAGAGACAGAGGGCACAUCUGCUCAGCGCUGACCUGAAGCUGAAGGGUCCCUUUCUGUUAUAGGGUGGGGGAAGAAUGGAGGUGCAGUCCACCAACUGGCAGAGAAUUGGGACAAGAAUUUAGGGAGAACACCCCCCUUUGGAAAGGGGGCAUGUGAGCAUCUGGCUGUCUAGUUAAGUGUGAGGACAUUUCCAGAUUUCUCUGCCUCAUAGUCCUGCUUUAUGUCACUAUUGUCUGUCUGCGCUUAUUAAACAGGAAUAGGUAACUCCAGAUAAAGAAUGUACACAAUUUGUCUCUAACAAAAGGGCAAGGACUUCGUUGCCUAGGGACUGGAGAUACAGUGGUGAACAGGACACCAUGCCUGCUUGAACGGAUGGCUUCAAUUAUCUAUUAAAAUACUUAAGCAAUUACCAAAUGCCAAGUACCAUGCUAGACCCAGGGAUACAGUAGAAACAAGACAAAUAAAAUUUUAGGAUUUGACCUUAGAUCUUUACAUGGAGAAUUAGAUGAUUGCUGGAUAACAAACAUCCCCAAACUUAGUGGCUUCAAACAACACUGAUUUAUCAUUUCUCAGCAUAUUCUGGGUCUGACAUUUGGGCAGGGCUCAGCUGGGUGGUUCUUCAGCCAAUGGGGUCAUUUGUUGCUUGCAUUUACCUGGUGGUUUGAUGGAACACCAAGAUGACCUCUCAUCCGUCCAAGUCUGUCUGCAUGGGGCCUCUCAUCACUGAGUGGUCCAGCUUAGACUUCCUUACAACAUGGCGGCUGGGCUUUGAGAAGGGAAAGCAGCAGUUCAAGUCCUCUUGAGGGCUCAGAAGUCCCAGAAACAUCACUUCCACCAUGAUCUGUUGGUUAAAGCAAGUCCCAGGACAAGUCCACACUCAAGAAGAGGAGGAAAGAACUCCACCUCUUCCUAUGAGGAGCGGCAGGAUCAAUCCAGUGGGCACUGCACACUCCCUGAGUUUGCAUCCCAGCUGAGAAACCCUGAGCUUACGGAUCCUGACUCUCUUAUAACGGGCUGCAAGCAAACCUGCCGGAACUUUGCCCCAGAAGGAACGUUACCUUGAUUACACUGGACGCCAAACAAAACCGCCCUCGGCUCUGGAGAGAGAUACUGACUCCGUCUUCCAAGGCAGUGUGCUUCACAAACAUCCAUGGAAAGCUUGUCCAGAACAAAAGGGCAGUUGGUGCCUCACUCACGAGACAGGCAGAAGAGUGAAAGACGUAUGGAGAAUCAGCUCCCGAUGCGUGCCAUGUACCAGACACUGUUCUGUGGACUCUAAGUGUCCAACUCAUUGAACCCUCGUAGCAGUCCUGUGAGGCAGACGCCAUCGUCCCUCUUGACAGUUGAGGAAACUGGCCUUGAGCACGUCCCUCACCCUCUCUGUCCUCCCCCCUCCCCGGCCAGCAAGUGGUGGAACCCGAGUUGGUGCCCAUGCCAUCUGGCUCUUGCAGCACCCUUCUCACCACUAUACCACAUGGUAGAUGAUACAAAAGCUGUGUUGAUAGUUCACCUGCUAAGGAUGUUAUCUCAAAACUGCGUGACAACCUGGGAUGUGGCCAUGAUCAUCUUGACCCUUUCAUAGAAGUUUGGAAAUGAAGCGACUUGUCCAGGGCCACACAAUAGCUGAGUUGGGAUUCUGACCCAGGCCCUCUCGCCAGAUGAUGCUGUGUUCUCCUUGGCCUCUAUCCACUGUGAUGGAACCAGCAGGUGACACACAGUGUCAUUCAUUUCCCCCUUUUGUAUUAAAUACAAAUACAAAAAUAAGGUGGUGAUGCCACAAAAAACCAUGAAACACCUGUGUAAUAUUGUCUCCCUAGCUCGACUGCAUAUUUCCUGAUGACAAAGCCGCAUCUUAUGUCUAUACCACAUACAGAAUACUGUUAUCCUGAGCCAGGAACCCCUGGAAGAUACAAAACUUCAU